UUCAAUUUAUAUCCCUAUAAGUUCAUAGUAUGCUGUUUCGUGCGACAAUGAAUGCCAUAUUUUUGCUUAUUCUGGGACUCGUUCCGUAUAGCUACUGUUUAAAGUGUUAUGCAUGUCUAAAUAUAGUCAGAAGUGACUGCGCUAACGCCUUAACUUUCACCAUGGAUGUUGUAAAAUGCAAUGCAAAUGACAGAAAUUCUACGUUUCUGGAAAAUAACGAUGUUGGCGUAUUCCGACCCGUUUGUAUAAGCGCGAUUGAACCACAAUCUGAUCCACAGAUAGUUAUCCGCGGAUGUGCGGUUUUCCCAGACAACGUGGAUCCAUGCGAAUAUUUACAGAAAACUGCGAUUUUCGAAAAGUGUCAUUGGUGCACUGAAGAUAAGUGCAAUAACAAUGAACUAGUCCAAGGAGGAAACAAAAUAAUUUGAUUUAUUUUUAAAAUGCCUAAACCGUACAUUUGAUAUUGUACAAUGCUUAGGUCAAUCACACAUUGAUAACUUAAUCUUGUUUUGUACGAAUAAAACAGCUCAUUAAAUGAUUAGACUUGUUUCAGACACAAUAUGAGAGCCUUACUUGUUCUAGUCGCCAUAGGUGUCUUUAAUUCAGCUAACAGCUUGCAAUGUAAUGUAUGCACUGGUAGCACUCUCAGCUACUGUGGGGAUGGAGAAUCUUCAAGAAUGGGUGUUAUAAAUUGCAAUGAGACACGGUCCGUUAAUUUUCAUGGAGAUGGUUACAUCGGAAAACCACGCGCGGUUUGCGUUACCGCGACUUACCCAGCGAAUUUUCCUAAAAUUGUUUUUCGUGGAUGCGGUACGUUUUCGGAUCAGACUGACCCAUGUAAAUAUUUGGAAGAUACCAAACUGUUCGAGCAUUGCACCUGGUGCACAACUGAUAAGUGCAAUGAUAAACCACAACCGGUCGACAAGAUAUGAUAGCUAAUAUGAAUAAAUAAAGUAAAUUAAGCCUA
This is a long non-coding RNA of Photinus pyralis (common eastern firefly), 967 nucleotides long. RefSeq lists it as uncharacterized. The transcript has 4 exons. NCBI's taxonomy places the organism in Eukaryota, Metazoa, Arthropoda, Insecta, Coleoptera, Lampyridae. The record is from RefSeq and is a predicted model, not a curated record.